RNAcentral lists this ribosomal RNA (534 nucleotides) under uncultured delta proteobacterium. Its description in RNAcentral is "bacterial SSU rRNA". It matches the Rfam family "Bacterial small subunit ribosomal RNA", at positions 68 to 594 of the family's 1533-position model. Lineage: Bacteria; Deltaproteobacteria. The record is from RNAcentral.
AUAUCCAGGAGCUUGCUCUUGGUGAAAGCGGCGCACGGGUGAGUAACGCGUGGAUAACGUACCUUAAGGUUGGGAAUAACCUGUCGAAAGGCGGGCUAAUACCGAAUAUGUUCAUUUGAAGCGCGCUUUGAAUGAGUAAAGCGGGGCAACUCGCGCCAUAAGAUCGGUCCGCGUCCUAUCAGCUAGUUGGUGGGGUAAUGGCCUACCAAGGCGAAGACGGGUAACUGGUCUGAGAGGACGACCAGUCACACUGGGACUGAGACACGGCCCAGACUCCUACGGGAGGCAGCAGUGGGGAAUAUUGGUCAAUGGGCGAAAGCCUGAACCAGCAAUGCCGCGUGGGUGAUGAAGGCCUUCGGGUUGUAAAGCCCUGUCAGUGGGAAAGAAAAAGCCGGUUAACACCCGGACUUGACGGUACCCACAAAGGAAGCACCGGCUAACUCUGUGCCAGCANCCGCGGUAAUACAGAGGGUGCAAGCGUUGUUCGGAAUUACUGGGCGUAAAGCGCGUGUAUGCGGCUUCUUAAGUCGGACG